Molecule: long non-coding RNA, 2244 nt
Organism: Dioscorea cayenensis subsp. rotundata (Guinea yam)
Lineage: Eukaryota; Viridiplantae; Streptophyta; Magnoliopsida; Dioscoreales; Dioscoreaceae
Exons: 3
Source: RefSeq, a predicted model, not a curated record
UUUACUUCUUCCAGCCUGAAAUUCAACAUCUCAACAUCAUAUUAGAGAUUUAGGCUUUAAGUUUGAUCUGUGUGUUUGGCCUUCAUUGCCAAAAGUCUUGUGGUUCUUACUAGCCUUUAUUGCUGAUGUUUUUCAAUUAGCCUUGAUUUCUUGAAGAGAUAUCAGAAGUAGUGGAAACAAUCCCUUUAACACAAAUGGAGGAGAUUGUUCAAUCUCAACACCUCAAUGAGUUGCAAAAUAUCCUAGUUGCUUACAAGUUGAAUGGAAGAAAUCAUCUUAAAUGAUCUCAGCUUGUUUAAACCAUACUGAAAGGGAAAUUAUAGAUCAUCCAUCUCACAUGUUUGGGGCCAAAACAAGAGGAUCCUCAAUUUGAAGCAUAGGAUGAAGAAGAUUCUAUGAUCAUAGCAUGGCUAUGGAAUCCUAUGACCCCUGAGAUGAGUGGCACAUGAAUAUUCUUGGCUAUCGCCAAGGAUAUUUUGGAUGCACUCCAACAAACAUACUCUAAGGCAAGAGAUAUGGUCCAAGUGUACGAGGUCAAGGUAAAGACUAUGGCUGAAAAACAAGGGAGUAGGAUACUUACUGAAUAUGCCAAUCAGUUGAAAUCCUUGUGGCAGGAGCUUGUCAACUGCUGGGUUGUAAAACUAAAUAUUCUGAAGAUGCAGCUAUUCUAAAAGGCUUUAUUGUAUAAGAUAGUGUCUAUAAUUUUCUUGUUGGACUUGCAGAAUUUGACCAAUUCAUGAUCCAGAUUUUUGGCAAGGAUGAAGUUCCUUGUUUUAAUGAGGUUUUCACCAUAGUCUGAGGAGAAAAAAGUAGAAGAAACUUGAUGCUUGAACCACAAAUCAUAGAGAGCUCUACUAUGGUGGCUAAUGGUGGAAGUAAAUCAACCAUGAAUUCUGAAAAAACACAAACCUUUGAAAAUGAAAGACUUGGGUGACCAAAAGUGCAGAAUCAUGAGAACUUAUGGUGUACUUACUGUAAGAAGGCACGUCAUACCUGUGAAAAGUGCUGGAAGUUUCAUGGAAAAUAUCCAAGCUGAGAUUAGGGAUAGAAAGGAGAUCGAAUAAGAAAAUAUUGUUAGACACACGUUGCUGCAGUUCAACCAAAUGAAGAAACAUAUAAGGAGUCAAAUGGUCUCAGCCAAGAAGAGGUUAAGAGGGUAAGAUAUCUCAUUGGCAACAUCGAAAAGCCUUCAGGAAAGAAGAAGAUGUUGUUUGAGCCAAGUGACCUAAUGUCGAUACAUUUACGAAAAGUGCAUUUUCAAAAGCAGCACAAGUACAAGUUGCAACCACAAGGUGAUGGACUAUUCCCCGGGUGCUUGAGAAGAUUAAUGACAACGCGUACAAAAUUGAGCGCCCGGGUAAGUAUGGUCUAAGUGCUACUUUCAAUGUUGCAGACCUUUCACAUUUAUUCGAUUCAAUCGGGUUGAGGGUGAAUCCUUUUAAAGAGGGGGAGGAUGAUGAGGACAUCAUGCUCAUGGUUACUACACCACCAUCUACACCAUCUACCGAUGGUAAUACUUCAUCUGGUAUGGAAGAGAAAGCAUAUCAAGGACCAAUUACAUUAGGCCAUGCUAAACAAAUCUAAAAUAAGGUGUACCGGAGGUGAGGACAUAGUUCCAAACUUAGCCAAACAAAAGGAUAGCAAGAGAGAAGCAUUUGGAGCUAUGCCACAUAUGGGCCUCACACUCACGUAUGCGUCCAAAAAGGAAACUGUGCUUAUCUUUGCUGGCUCCACUCAAACAGAGGGAAAUGUGGUUUCCUUAUACGUCAAACCAGCCCAAAGAUAUUUUUUUCUACACUAACCCAAUUUCUGAAAAGAGACAAAAAUAGUAUGGCAUUUCAUUACCUUCGAUGCAACCUUUCUCGAAUCCUUUGUUCCACUGCUACACCGUAAAGGAGAACUGUGUGAGUAUCAUCAUAAGCUAUUGCCAUGUCCGCAGGUACUUCAUACAUCCUUCACAACCUUAGCAUAUGCCUAGGCUCCAUAUGGAAUCGCUCCAUGUAGAUGUCUCACAGUUCGGAUGUGAUUCUAGUGCUCCAGUCCCUCUGGUUCAUGCUUACAACCAAGUGAGUUUUGUAAAACUAAAACAUGUGGCUGAACUUGGUCUUGUGUAACAUACUCCACACCAGGCUGGAUGGUUGUAAUUGAGCUAAAAACAACUUACGAAGCAAUCAAAGCUUCCAUAUCCUCUUGUGUCACAUGGGUUUCCUCUUCCUCUUCUUUUCUUUGCUCUCCUAAGAAGAA